RNAcentral lists this long non-coding RNA (1098 nucleotides) under Salmo salar (Atlantic salmon). RNAcentral describes it as "lncRNA (ENSSSAG00000089555.1)". The record is from RNAcentral. Lineage: Eukaryota; Metazoa; Chordata; Actinopteri; Salmoniformes; Salmonidae.
CUUAUACUGGUCAGGACGUGACACAACCGAGAUAUGGUGAAUGGUUAAUGGUGGAUGCGUCAAUUAGGAUGCUUCAGUCAGUUGAGGGGAAAUAUGUUAGUGAUGCUGGGCAAUAAAUUGACAAGGCUUGCAUGUUCAGGCGCACUUGCAAGGCCAAUGAAGGUAAGCACUGCUAUAUGUUUUUUUCCCCCGCGGAGAUAAGAGACGUGAAGAGAACUCACCAAUGAUGAAACUCAUUUAGUGCUCAUUGGCAAGAUUGCUGGUUCCAUGAACCUCCCCAAGGAAACUGUGAGCUCGUAAAGAAGCGAACAAAAAGAAAAGGAACAUAAGAGAAUACUUCAAAAAGCUGACUGCAGUUAUAAAGUUCUACAAGGAACAUGGUGUUGCUCCAAGGACUACUGUCAAUUUAAUAUUGUAUUUAGGCCAAAUCUAUUAAUUAUUAUUAUAUGUGUGAAAUUAGUUUUAAUAUAGUUUAGUUGUAGUUUGGACGGGCCAGCUGGGCAGGUAACUGUUGUCUUGCAGUCAGAAAAUCAUUUUAUUUUAGGAUUCAAAGUCUAUCAUAAAUAUAAUUUUUUGGGUCCCCACACUAGUUAUACUUUCUGCUUCUGGGAGGCCCCGUCACAUGAUGAAAUACAUGAUUCAUCAUUCUCAUUUUCUGCUUUGGGUUUAUUGUAAUAACUAAUAUAAGUAUGCAAAAUUGUAGGUUUUUUAUUUAGCAUAAUUAGCAUGUGUUUAAGGUAGAUUACAUGCAUAGAGGUCAGGUUUAUCUGGGACAGAUAUGUAUAGUGCAGCACAGUUUUUCAGUCUUCCAGAUCAAGCUGAAGUUACAUGACUACGACUCCCCAAUGACAUUUGAUGAAUUUAAUAGAUAUUGAAUGUGUGUGGACUAGCUAAUCACUUACACAUCAUCACCCCUACCUGCACCACUGGGGCUUUCAACAGGCAUUGGGAUUCUGGAAGAGGAGAUUAAUAUGAUGAGAGUUCUAGGUAGAACUUUUAUUAAUUCCACUGAAAAGAAGAAAAAAACAUGUUUGAGUAAUUAGCCAAAUGAGGAUCUCCAUAUCCAUUGGCAAAGUAUGACGUGGAAGUUGCACAGCU